UACGUAGGGUGCGAGCGUUAAUCGGAAUUACUGGGCGUAAGGCGUGCGCAGGCGGUUCGUUAAGUCAGAUGUGAAAGCCCCGGGCUCAACCUGGGAACUGCAUUUGAAACUGGCGGGCUUGAGUAUGGCAGAGGGGGGUGGAAUUCCGCGUGUAGCAGUGAAAUGCGUAGAGAUGCGGAGGAACACCGAUGGCGAAGGCAGCCCCCUGGGCCAAUACUGACGCUCAGGCACGAAAGCGUGGGGAGCAAACAGG
RNAcentral lists this ribosomal RNA (253 nucleotides) under uncultured bacterium. Its description in RNAcentral is "partial 16S ribosomal RNA". It matches the Rfam family "Bacterial small subunit ribosomal RNA", at positions 524 to 776 of the family's 1533-position model. The record is from RNAcentral.